Molecule: long non-coding RNA, 455 nt
Organism: Paramisgurnus dabryanus
Lineage: Eukaryota; Metazoa; Chordata; Actinopteri; Cypriniformes; Cobitidae
Source: RefSeq, a predicted model, not a curated record
GACUUUCUCUUUCUCCAACUGCGGAUAUAGGUGCUGCUCGUAAUGUCGGCUUCUUCAAAAAGUUGAAACUGCAAGCAUCAUACACGAGGGACGCGCAGAACCACGUGGGCUUGGUUAAAUGGCGCCAAUGCUUAUGCGUGUGACUUAAAAAAAGCUCUGCUUUUGUGGUUUAAUCAACCGACAUGGUGUGGACAAAGGGAUGAUUUCACAGAAACUUGAGAGGUUUUUGAAGUUCUCAGUUGUAAAGGUGAUCUAGAGAUUUGAGAGGUGAAGAUUCCCCUGGCCAUCUCAACGUGUGGUUACAGGUUCGAGUCCGCAAGGUCUUCGACUUUCUAUGUGGGUGCUACUGCAGUUAACAUCCAAAAAAUGUGUUUUUCAGCACGGUGUAUGCUGUUACAUGUUCUGAAGUAUUCUUACUGAUAUUUUGUCAGUUUCAAUAAAUGUACAAAACCUGA